This 399-nucleotide ribosomal RNA is filed under the name uncultured bacterium. RNAcentral's name for it is "bacterial SSU rRNA". It matches the Rfam family "Bacterial small subunit ribosomal RNA", at positions 30 to 429 of the family's 1533-position model. The record is from RNAcentral.
AUUGAACGCUGGCGGAAUGCUUUACACAUGCAAGUCGAACGGCAGCACGGGUGCUUGCACCUGGUGGCGAGUGGCGAACGGGUGAGUAAUGCACCGGAACGUAUCCAAUAAUGGGGGAUAACGCACCGAAAGGUGUGCUAAUACCGCAUACGCCCUGAGGGGGAAAGCGGGGGAUCGUAAGACCUCGCGUUAAUGGAGCGGCCGAUGCCGGAUUAGCUAGUUGGUGAGGUAAAGGCUCACCAAGGCGACGAUCCGUAGCUGGUCUGAGAGGACGACCAGCCACACUGGAACUGAGACACGGUCCAGACUCCUACGGGAGGCAGAAGUGGGGAAUUUUGGACAAUGGGCGCAAGCCUGAUCCAGCCAUUCCGCGUGAGUGAGGAAGGCCUCGGUUGUAAG